This 497-nucleotide ribosomal RNA is filed under the name uncultured bacterium. RNAcentral's name for it is "partial 16S ribosomal RNA". It matches the Rfam family "Bacterial small subunit ribosomal RNA", at positions 28 to 507 of the family's 1533-position model. The record is from RNAcentral.
GAUGAACGCUGGCGGCGUGCCUAAUACAUGCAAGUCGAGCGAACAGACGAGGAGCCUACUCCUCUGACGUUAGCGGCGGACGGGUGAGUAACACGUGGAUAACCUACCUAUAAGACUGGGAUAACUUCGGGAAACCGGAGCUAAUACCGGAUAACAUGUUGAACCGCAUGGUUCAACAGUGAAAGACGGUCUUGCUGUCACUUAUAGAUGGAUCCGCGUCGCAUUAGCUAGUUGGUAAGGUAACGGCUUACCAAGGCAACGAUGCGUAGCCGACCUGAGAGGGUGAUCGGCCACACUGGAACUGAGACACGGUCCAGACUCCUACGGGAGGCAGCAGUAGGGAAUCUUCCGCAAUGGGCGAAAGCCUGACGGAGCAACGCCGCGUGAGUGAAGAAGGUCUUCGGAUCGUAAAACUCUGUUAUUAGGGAAGAACAAAUGUGUAAGUAACUAUGCACGUCUUGACGGUACCUAAUCAGAAAGCCACGGCUAACUACGUG